This 229-nucleotide ribosomal RNA is filed under the name uncultured bacterium. Its description in RNAcentral is "partial 16S ribosomal RNA". It matches the Rfam family "Bacterial small subunit ribosomal RNA", at positions 568 to 796 of the family's 1533-position model. The record is from RNAcentral.
UGCGUAGGCGGUUAGUUAAGUCAGUUGUUAAAGCCCAUGGCUUACCCAUGGAACAGCAAUUGAUACUGGCUGACUAGAGGGCAGGAGAGAGAAGUGGAAUUCUCGGAGUAGCGGUAAAAUGCGUAGAUCUCGAGAGGAACACCAAUGGCGAAGGCAGCUUCUUGGAAUGUCCCUGACGCUGAGGCACGAAAGCGUGGGUAGCAAACAGGAUUAGAUACCCUGGUAGUCC